AGCGAACGCUGGCGGUAGGCCUAACACAUGCAAGUCGAACGGCCGCACAGUAAGAGCUUGCUGUUACGGGUGGAGAGUGGCGGAAGGGUGAGGACUCCAUCGGAAUCUACUUUUUCGCGGGGGGUAACGUAGGGAAAGCCACGCUAAUACCGCAUAUGACCUAGGGGUAAAAGCAGGCGUUCUUUGGACCUUGCGCGGUUGAAUGAGCCGAUGUCGGAUUGGCUAGUUGGCGGGGUAAAGGCGCUCCAAGGCGACACUCCGUAGCGGGUAUGAGCGGGUGGAUAGCCAGCCUGGAAGUGAGGCACGGUCCCGACUCCUACGGGGGGCAGCAGUGGAGAAUAUUAGGCGAUGGGGGCAAGCCUGAUCCAAGCAUACCGCGGGGGUGAAGAACGCCUUCGGGUUGGAAAGCCCUUUUGGUGUGAAAGAAAAGCAGCACGUUAAGACCCCGCUGUUCUGACGGUACCCAAAGAAGAAGCACCGGCUAACUUCGUG
RNAcentral lists this ribosomal RNA (492 nucleotides) under uncultured bacterium. RNAcentral's name for it is "partial 16S ribosomal RNA". It matches the Rfam family "Bacterial small subunit ribosomal RNA", at positions 29 to 507 of the family's 1533-position model. The record is from RNAcentral.